This 448-nucleotide ribosomal RNA is filed under the name uncultured bacterium. RNAcentral's name for it is "bacterial SSU rRNA". It matches the Rfam family "Bacterial small subunit ribosomal RNA", at positions 329 to 794 of the family's 1533-position model. The record is from RNAcentral.
GGCCAGACUCCUACGGGAGGCAGCAGUGGGGAAUAUUGCACAAUGGGGGAAACCCUGAUGCAGCGACGCCGCGUGAGUGAAGAAGUAUUUCGGUAUGUAAAGCUCUAUCAGCAGGGAAGAAAAUGACGGUACCUGACUAAGAAGCCCCGGCUAACUACGUGCCAGCAGCCGCGGUAAUACGUAGGGGGCAAGCGUUAUCCGGAUUUACUGGGUGUAAAGGGAGCGUAGACGGCAUGGCAAGUCAGAUGUGAAAGCCCGGGGCUCAACCCCGGGACUGCAUUUGAAACUGUCAGGCUGGAGUGCAGGAGAGGUAAGUGGAAUUCCUAGUGUAGCGGUGAAAUGCGUAGAUAUUAGGAGGAACACCAGUGGCGAAGGCGGCUUACUGGACUGUAACUGACGUUGAGGCUCGAAAGCGUGGGGAGCAAACAGGAUUAGAUACCCGCGUAAA